CUCCCUUGUUAACGUAUAAGAUGCUUUUGACUUCAAAAAUUUUUCAGAUGACACCUCAACCAGUUCUAAUAGAGGACACUUUCAUAUGUUCUUCAUAUCUGCUUGAGCCUUAGGGUUAUCCUUCAUCUUGCCCUUGACAUCCAUAAGUGUAGAAAAUAUUAUCAAAUACAUUCUUCUCAAUAUGCAUGACGUCAAGAUUAUGACGGAUCAAAUUG
Molecule: long non-coding RNA, 215 nt
Filed under: Elaeis guineensis (African oil palm)
Lineage: Eukaryota; Viridiplantae; Streptophyta; Magnoliopsida; Arecales; Arecaceae
Description: long non-coding RNA (EGUI_LNC008262)
Source: RNAcentral